GAGUUUGAUCCUGGCUCAGAUUGAACGCUGGCGGCUAUGCCUUACACAUGCAAGUCGAACGGCAGCACGGGAGCUUGCUCCUGGUGGCGAGUGGCGAACGGGUGAGUAAUGCAUCGGAACGUAUCCUGGAGUGGGGGAUAACGUAGCGAAAGUUACGCUAAUACCGCAUAUUCUGUGAGCAGGAAAGCGGGGGACCUUCGGGCCUCGCGCUCUUGGAGCGGCCGAUGUCGGAUUAGCUAGUUGGUGAGGUAAAGGCUCACCAAGGCGACGAUCCGUAGCAGGUCUGAGAGGAUGAUCUGCCACACUGGAACUGAGACACGGUCCAGACUCCUACGGGAGGCAGCAGUGGGGAAUUUUGGACAAUGGGGGCAACCCUGAUCCAGCCAUGCCGCGUGAGUGAAGAAGGCCUCGGUUGUAA
RNAcentral lists this ribosomal RNA (418 nucleotides) under bacterium enrichment culture clone ALO1_GLFRUDD03HEHCR. RNAcentral describes it as "bacterial SSU rRNA". It matches the Rfam family "Bacterial small subunit ribosomal RNA", at positions 9 to 428 of the family's 1533-position model. The record is from RNAcentral.